GUCUGGUCUCCCUGGUCCAAAUUUUGCCUUCGUUUUGUCUUCAGUUAAACUGAAGAAUUCCCAAACAGCGGAGGUCUUCAGCAUCUUGUCUUGUGUUUAUGCAACGAAGUGAAGCGUGACGUCAGAGUCAGCAGCAACCCGGACAUUCAGGUGGU
Long non-coding RNA from Acanthochromis polyacanthus (spiny chromis), 155 nucleotides. RefSeq lists it as uncharacterized. The record is from RefSeq and is a predicted model, not a curated record. Lineage: Eukaryota; Metazoa; Chordata; Actinopteri; Pomacentridae. The transcript has 2 exons.